CUGCCUGGGGAUUCUAUUUAAUGAGAAGGUAAUUAAAUACAACGAUACAAGUAAAUUUAAUUGCAAAUAAAAUUAAUAACAGGGAGAAAAAAAGAAGAAAAAACGCAAAAAAGAGCACUACAUAAAAAUGUGCAACUCCUUUUUAUUGAGUAAUUGUAGAAAGUAAGUUAUGUAAGUACAAAAGAAUUAGAGAUUAAAAAUGAAUAGCCCCCCACCCCCACAAAAAAAAACAGAAGAAAGAACUCAGUGUACAAAGAAUUUUACUAUAUUAGUGGCUGCUUCGAGAUUAAAACCCAUGACCUAUAGGUAAUACGCAAAUAACUUUACUAUUACUGCGAGGAUUAAAAUUCCUCAGGGAUGCUUUGAAGCACAGGCAUCCAAGAAGAAUUGUUUCUGAGCUUGAUUUGAUUGGCUUUUCUAAUUAACUGUCUUUUCCUCAUGAAAUUCAAACGUUGCUCCAAACAAGAAGAAUUUUGGCUUCUUUUGUCACUCAUAUUAUUACCAUUUCCUAAUGCUUCAAGAACUUGCAUUAAAUCUUCUUUUUUCACCACAAUUUUCAUCCUCACCACCUCCCCUUCAUUUUCUUGACUUGUGUCACAUCAUCAGCGUGUGUAUUACACGCAUUUUAUAUUUUUUGUCACGGCAGUAAAUUGAGCUCAAUUGAAAGUAUUUGUGAAGGAGCACCUGGCUUAAUUGAGGUGCCUAUACGGGAAAAGUAAAAGAAUAAUCCACUCAUCUUAGAAAAACGAGGAUGUAAUAAAACAAAAAUUUGCCAUCAAUAGGAGCUUAAUUUGAAUGAUUCAUAAUCACGACUUUAAAAAAAUAGCUAAUUCCAACGAAAAAAUUCAGUAAGGAAACCCAUCGAAAAUCUAAUAUUUUUGAGAAAAUAAUUUCGUCAUCCAAGAUUUCGCAAUAUCAUUUUUGGGGAAAUUCACAUUUUUCAGUAGCGAAUAUAAUAUCUAAAUUACUCCAAAAUCAAUAAGGAAUUUGAAGAAGGAAUAACAAAUUAAAUCUCUCUUCUAAAUGCUGAAAACUAAAGAAAAUGAAUAACCUGCCUGGGGAUUCUAUUUAAUGAGAAGGUAAUUAAAUACAACGAUACAAGUAAAUUUAAUUGCAAAUAAAAUUAAUAACAGGGAGAAAAAAAGAAGAAAAAACGCAAAAAAGAGCACUACAUAAAAAUGUGCAACUCCUUUUUAUUGAGUAAUUGUAGAAAGUAAGUUAUGUAAGUACAAAAGAAUUAGAGAUUAAAAAUGAAUAGCCCCCCACCCCCACAAAAAAAAACAGAAGAAAGAACUCAGUGUACAAAGAAUUUUACUAUAUUAGUGGCUGCUUCGAGAUUAAAACCCAUGACCUAUAGGUAAUACGCAAAUAACUUUACUAUUACUGCGAGGAUUAAAAUUCCUCAGGGAUGCUUUGAAGCACAGGCAUCCAAGAAGAAUUGUUUCUGAGCUUGAUUUGAUUGGCUUUUCUAAUUAACUGUCUUUUCCUCAUGAAAUUCAAACGUUGCUCCAAACAAGAAGAAUUUUGGCUUCUUUUGUCACUCAUAUUAUUACCAUUUCCUAAUGCUUCAAGAACUUGCAUUAAAUCUUCUUUUUUCACCACAAUUUUCAUCCUCACCACCUCCCCUUCAUUUUCUUGACUUGAAAAUUCUCUAUUACCAUUAUUAACUUGUGCAAUUGCAUCCAAAAUAUUGCUCAUCAUAUUAGCUUUAUGACUCCUUGUUCUUGAAAUCUUUGACUCCGAUGAUCUCCGUGGCCACGCGCAUCUAUCUUCUGCAAAUUUCACUUCCAUUUUCGCGUACCUUAAUUAAUUCUUUCUUUGAUCUCUUCUUUCUGUUUGUAUAUAUAGUUAAAGG
RNAcentral lists this long non-coding RNA (1855 nucleotides) under Capsicum annuum. RNAcentral's name for it is "long non-coding RNA (CANN_LNC013331)". Lineage: Eukaryota; Viridiplantae; Streptophyta; Magnoliopsida; Solanales; Solanaceae. The record is from RNAcentral.